Molecule: ribosomal RNA, 91 nt
Filed under: Acanthosepion pharaonis
Lineage: Eukaryota; Metazoa; Mollusca; Cephalopoda; Sepiida; Sepiidae
Source: RNAcentral
ACAGCCAAAUCACGCAGAAACACCGGUUCUCGUACGAUCACCGAAGUUAAGCAGCGUAGAGCCAGGUCAGUACUUAGAUGGGGGACCGCUU